UAUCCUCUCACACGGAUAAGACACGUUCGACGUUGUUUUAAAAAUGGCAGAAAGGUGGGGCGUGUGCAGAAAAAUUAAGAGAAAGAAAGUGGGGCGUGAGGAAGGCUUGUGUGUGAGGUGAAGGUCCAAAACCUUCCGAGAGAAAAAGAAAGAAAAUUGGGCGCAGGAUUUUUGGUGUGUACCCUAGGGUUUCUACCUAGGGUUUGGGAAGUGAGAUUGGUGUGCCACGAGUGUCGUGAGUCUACCAAAUUUUAG
Molecule: long non-coding RNA, 255 nt
Filed under: Elaeis guineensis (African oil palm)
Lineage: Eukaryota; Viridiplantae; Streptophyta; Magnoliopsida; Arecales; Arecaceae
Description: long non-coding RNA (EGUI_LNC010738)
Source: RNAcentral